CAUUAUUGAAUAACUUGGUUGGGUUGUUGCUGGCUUUUCGGAGCAUGUGCACACCUAGCACCAUUUUUACCACCUGUGCACAUUUUGUAGACUUGAAACACCUCUUGGGGAAACUCAGUUUGAGGAAUGCCCUUAGUGGCUUUCCUUGCGUCUCAAGUCUAUGUUUUUUAUAUACCCCAUAAGAAUGUAAUAGAAUGUCAUUAAUGGGCUUAUGCCUUUAAAUUAAUACAACUUUCAACAACGGAUCUCUUGGCUCUCGCAUCGAUGAAGAACGCAGCGAAAUGCGAUAAGUAAUGUGAAUUGCAGAAUUCAGUGAAUCAUCGAAUCUUUGAACGCACCUUGCGCUCCUUGGUAUUCCGAGGAGCAUGCCUGUUUGAGUGUCAUUAAAUUCUCAACCAUUUCAGCUUUUACAAGUUGAAUUGGCUUGGAUGUGGAGGUUUUUGCGGGCUUCUCAGAAGUCGGCUCCUCUUAAAUGCAUUAGCAGAACCUUUGUGGACCAGCUUUUGGUGUGAUAAUUAUCUACGCCAUGGUUGUGAAGCAGCUAUUAACAUGGGGUUCAGCUUCUAAUAGUCCAUUGACUUGGACAAUUUCUGACAUUUGACCU
This 604-nucleotide ribosomal RNA is filed under the name Collybia nuda. RNAcentral describes it as "eukaryotic LSU rRNA". The stretch from base 230 to 383 matches the Rfam family "5.8S ribosomal RNA". Lineage: Eukaryota; Fungi; Basidiomycota; Agaricomycetes; Agaricales; Clitocybaceae. The record is from RNAcentral.